RNAcentral lists this transfer RNA (73 nucleotides) under Salmo salar (Atlantic salmon). It matches the Rfam family "tRNA". Rfam says of the family: Transfer RNA (tRNA) molecules are approximately 80 nucleotides in length. Lineage: Eukaryota; Metazoa; Chordata; Actinopteri; Salmoniformes; Salmonidae. The record is from Rfam by way of RNAcentral.
GUUUCUGUAGUGUAGUGGUUAUCACGUUUGCUUCACACGCGAAAGGUCCUCGGUUCGAAACGGGGCGUUAACA